AUGAACGCUGGCGGCGUGCCUAAUACAUGCAAGUCGAGCGAACAGACGAGGAGAUUGCUCCUCUGACGUUAGCGGCGGACGGGUGAGUAACACGUGGAUAACCUACCUAUAAGACUGGGAUAACUUCGGGAAACCGGAUCUAAUACCGGAUAAUAUAUUGCACCGCAUGGUUCAAUAGUGAAAGACGGUUUUGCUGUCACUUAUAGAUGGAUCCGCGCCGCAUUAGCUAGUUGGUAAGGUAACGGCUUACCAAGGCAACGAUGCGUAGCCGACCUGAGAGGGUGAUCGGCCACACUGGAACUGAGACACGGUCCAGACUCCUACGGGAGGCAGCAGUAGGGAAUCUUCCGCAAUGGGCGAAAGCUUGACGGAGCAACGCCGCGUGAGUGAUGAAGGUCUUCGGAUCGUAAAACUCUGUUAUUAGGGAAGAACAAAUGUGUAAGUAACUAUGCACGUCUUGACGGUACCUAAUCAGAAAGCCACGGCUAACUACGUG
Molecule: ribosomal RNA, 496 nt
Filed under: uncultured bacterium
Lineage: Bacteria
Description: partial 16S ribosomal RNA
Rfam family: Bacterial small subunit ribosomal RNA
Source: RNAcentral